UACGUAGGGGGCAAGCGUUGUCCGGAUUUAUUGGGCGUAAAGCGCUCGUAGGUGGUUCGUUGCGUCGUGCGUGAAAGACCCCGGCUCAACUGGGGAGGGUCGUGCGAUACGGGCGAACUGGAGGCCAGUAGGGGGAUGCGGAAUUCCGGGUGUAGUGGUGGAAUGCGUAGAGAUCCGGAGGAACACCAGCGGCGAAGGCGGCAUCCUGGACUGGUCCUGACACUCAGGAGCGAAAGCGUGGGGAGCGAUCCGG
RNAcentral lists this ribosomal RNA (253 nucleotides) under uncultured bacterium. RNAcentral's name for it is "partial 16S ribosomal RNA". It matches the Rfam family "Bacterial small subunit ribosomal RNA", at positions 524 to 776 of the family's 1533-position model. The record is from RNAcentral.